AUGGAGGACGCGACGGCGACGACGCUGGCGACGGAGCUCGACGGGCUGCUGGCCAUGGCGAGGGAGCUGGAGGCGCGGGUGGGCGCCGACCAGGGCGUGCCGGGUGCCGCGAGGGAGCUCUGCGCCGCGCUGGCCGCGUCCGUCGACCGGGCCGUGCGCCUCGCCGGCCGUAGCGGCAAUGCCGGCGGCAGGGCGAGCGUGAACGGCCAGCGCAGGAGCGGCAGGAAGGCGGCGGCGGCGAAGGUGCGGACGCAGGUGCGGGUGGCCUCGAUGCAGGACCUGGGUCCGCUCGACGACGGGCUCAGCUGGCGGAAGUACGGCCAGAAGGACAUCCUCGGCGCCACGUACCCCAGGUCCUACUUCCGGUGCACGCACCGGCACACGCAGGGCUGCGCCGCCACCAAGCAGGUGCAGCGGGCGACGGCCGACCCGCUGCUCUUCGACGUCGUGUACCACGGCGCGCACACCUGCGCCCAGACCGCCGUCCUGGCCGGCAUGGAGCAGCAGCAGCCGCCUGCUGCCUUCGGCCAGGAGCCGCAGAGCCCGCCGGAAGAGGUUCAGUGGCCGGCAGAGCCCGUGACUCCGUUUUCCUUCCCCUCCUGCUGCCACCUUACGGGGAGCUACGGCUACGCGGCGGCGGGCGGCGGCCUCGGAGUUGACAUGGAGCUUGAAGAUCAACUCGACGAGCUGUUCUUGGACGUGUCAGGGAUUUUCUAA
Molecule: ribosomal RNA, 717 nt
Filed under: Triticum aestivum (bread wheat)
Lineage: Eukaryota; Viridiplantae; Streptophyta; Magnoliopsida; Poales; Poaceae
Description: partial small subunit ribosomal RNA
Source: RNAcentral